GGGAAGUGUGUUCCGCGCUGGGCUCGAGCGCUGUCCAGAAGUCUUCGGCGCACCGGAAGCCGCCGGAAAAGAGCGAUGGCGGGUUUGACUGUGAGAGACCCUGCGGUGGACCGUUCUCUACGUUCCGUGUUCGUGGGGAACAUUCCUUAUGAGGCUACUGAAGAGCAGUUAAAGGACAUCUUUUCUGAGGUUGGACCUGUUGUUAGUUUCAGGUUGGUUUAUGAUAGGGAGACAGGAAAGCCAAAAGGUUAUGGCUUCUGUGAAUACCAAGACCAGGAGACAGCACUUAGUGCCAUGCGAAACCUAAAUGGCCGUGAAUUUAGUGGGAGAGCACUUCGAGUGGACAAUGCUGCCAGCGAAAAGAACAAAGAAGAGCUGAAGAGCCUUGGAACUGGUGCCCCUGUCAUUGAGUCACCUUAUGGAGAGACCAUCAGUCCUGAGGAUGCCCCUGAGUCCAUUAGCAAAGCAGUUGCCAGCCUUCCACCAGAGCAGAUGUUUGAGCUGAUGAAACAGAUGAAGCUCUGUGUCCAGAAUAGUCCUCAAGAAGCACGGAACAUGCUGCUUCAGAACCCUCAACUGGCUUAUGCUUUGCUACAAGCACAGGUAGUCAUGAGAAUUGUGGAUCCAGAAAUUGCCUUGAAAAUUCUGCAUCGCCAGACAAAUAUCCCUACGCUGAUUGCAGGCAACCCGCAGACAGUCCACAGUGCCGGACCUGGCUCAGGAUCCAGUGUGUCAAUGAACCAGCAGAAUCCUCAGACACCUCAGGCCCAGACUUUGAGUGGAAUGCAUGUCAAUGGUGCGCCUCCUCUGAUGCAAGCUUCCCUGCAGGCUGGAGUUGCAGCACCAGGGCAGAUACCAGCCACUGUAACAGGACCUGGCCCUGGUUCCUUAGCUCCUGGAGGAGGAAUGCAGGCCCAGGUUGGAAUGCCAGGAAGUGGACCAGUGUCCAUGGAGCGGGGACAAGGAACUGUACAGCACUCGCCCGUGGGACCCACCGGGCCUGCAUCAAUUGAGCGAGUUCAAGUGCCAAUGCAAGACCCCAGAGCAGCUAUGCAGCGUGGGCCCUUGCCUGCCAACGUCCCAACGCCUCGAGGUCUGUUGGGAGAUGCUCCAAAUGACCCACGUGGAGGCACUUUACUUUCUGUAACUGGAGAGGUAGAACCUAGAGGUUACCUGGGACCACCUCAUCAGGGUCCGCCCAUGCACCAUGUCCCUGGCCAUGACAGCCGUGGCCCACCCCCACAUGAGAUGAGGGGAGGGCCAUUAACUGAGCCCAGACCUCUAAUGGCAGAGCCAAGAGGACCCAUGAUAGAUCAGAGGGGUCCACCCUUGGAUGGCAGAGGUGGAAGAGAUCCACGAGGCAUAGAUGCACGAGCCAUGGAGGCUAGAGGAUUAGAUGCUAGAGGAUUAGAAGCCCGUGCAAUGGAGGCCCGUGCAAUGGAGGCCCGUGCUAUGGAGGCCCGUGCUAUGGAGGCUCGUGCAAUGGAAGUCAGAGGAAUGGAGGCCAGAAGCAUGGAUACAAGGGGCCCAGUGCCAGGCCCAAGAGGCCCUAUACCUAGUGGAAUCCAAGGUCCCAGUCCAAUUAACAUGGGGGCCGUUGGACCCCAGGGAUCCAGACAGGUCCCAGUCAUGCAGGGAGCAGGCAUGCAGGGAGCAAGCAUUCAGGGUGGAGGCCAGCCUGGUGGCUUUAGUCCUGGCCAGAACCAAGUCACUCCACAGGACCAUGAGAAGGCUGCUUUGAUUAUGCAGGUUCUUCAACUAACUGCAGACCAGAUCGCCAUGCUGCCUCCUGAGCAGAGGCAGAGUAUCCUGAUCUUAAAGGAACAAAUACAGAAAUCUACUGGAGCUCCUUAAAGGUUUUCAAAAAUACCUGGCAACAGAUAUGGAAAUUAAUUCCAUUACUUUGUUGAAAUGUUGCAAAAAGAUGACUUCUGCAUCCUAACCCAUGAAUGACUCAAAUUGGUGCCAGGGCCCCAGUCUUCUUUCCUUCUACUGAUUCACUGUGACUACUGACACCCCAGAGCCAUGUGGAUGG
This is an RNA transcript of Budorcas taxicolor (takin), 2035 nucleotides long. It is a transcript of the gene named cleavage stimulation factor subunit 2, with no coding region annotated. The record is from RefSeq and is a predicted model, not a curated record. The transcript has 16 exons. NCBI's taxonomy places the organism in Eukaryota, Metazoa, Chordata, Mammalia, Artiodactyla, Bovidae.